GUCUUAAUAUUUAUUAGGGUAGCUUCAUUAAUAAUGUACAUUGCAUAGUGCCAAACGAGAUCACCACAUCACUUCUAAAGGAUUCCUGGAAGUCUAAGUCACAAGCAUGAGACAACAGCUGCAGGAAUGGGUGGUGAAGGUUGUGAAAACUUUCUGGCUUAAACAGGAAUUUGACCCAAAACAAGAAGUCUUAGGGAAGAUAGCCUAGGGCUUGUCUGGUGGCACAACAAUGGCAUUAAAUGCCCAGCCUCUUUACACUUUUCCGCUCUGCCAUCCUUGGCAUGCAGGCCAUUGUUUGUUGUUUCAUGAGUGAACUAUCAGUGCUGUAGCUCUUCAAGACAGGUAUAGGGCAAAGAUGAGCUCUGAUUCGCAGAGCCCUUCCAUCUAAGCGCUUUCCUAGAAGCCUCAGCAGUAAGUUCAACAUUCAACUCACUGGCUAGAAGUGUGUCAAAUGGCUGCGCCUUGCUUCAAGAGAGUCUGAGAAAAUAACUUUAGCUAGAAUUAAAGUUCCAUUAGAGUGCCUGGGUAGAUAAAGAAGAGUCUGCUACAGAAGGCCAGUAUCAUAGCAAGUUGUUGCUCCAUGACUGGAAACAAAGGAGACUUCACUAUUUACUUCAGAUGUGCAAUUGAUAGAGUACAGCUAAGAUAUGGUAUGUGUUCUACCGUGAAGAGCAAGGUGAGGGAGUGUAGGGUGUAAGAGAUCCUGGUGCAUUAGCUGUUGAGAGGAAGAAUCUCCCCCUGGUCACUGUGUUACUGGGAGGUCCUUGCUCCCCGAGUUCCCAAGAUGGUGGUGGGCCUCUUCCAAGAUGGCCACAGGCCACUUCCAAGGUGGCAAGUCUUGUGUUCUCUGACCUGGGGAGCUCUUGGCCUCACAGAUUCCAAGGAAUGGAAUCUUCGACCAUGUGGUGAGAGUUAUAGCUCUAUUAGAAGCUGUGAGUCAUGGAAGAGAACCAUGGAACCCAGUGACUAGUGUUUAGCUCAAUUAGGACGAACCUGGGCACUUAGCUGUGCAGGAACAAUGGCAAGCCUUUAGCCUGAUCAGGAGCGGCAAGGGGUGCCUCGCUGUAUCAGGAGCACAGUGGACGCCCUGCUGGAUCCAGAGGGAUGGCAGUCAGCUGCUGGUCUGCGACAGCAGCAAACAGCAGUGGUGGACGGCGAGCGAAAGCUCAGCUUGAGCGAUAACAAACACUGACCAGAAGUGUGUGCAGUUGCAAGAUUUAAGAAUGAAAACAGAGCUCCCUUACAAAGGGAGGGGACCCAAAGAGGGUAGCUGUUGCUCGUUCGAAUGCCUAUAGGUUUAUAUCCUGAUCAUUGUCCCUCCUGUUGUGCUCUCAGGCGACAGAUGAUUGGCUAUUUCUUUACCUCCUGUUUUUGCCUAAUUAGCAUUUUAGUGAGCUCUCUUUACUACCUGAUUGGUCGGGUGUAAGCUAAGUUGCAAGCUCCGUGUUUAAAGGUGGAUGCGCUCAUCUUCCCAGCUAGGCUUAGGCAUUCUUAGUCAGCCUAGGAAAUCCAACUAGUCCUGGCUCUCAGUUCCCUCUCUCAACAGGAAAACCCAAGUGCUGUUAGGGAGGUUUGACCACUGCUCUAACUGCUUCCUGCUCAGUUGGGGCAUAGUAGGGGUUGUGCAAUUGAGAUUUCCUCAGGAGGGGUACCUUGUCUCUCAACUAAUUCAGUGGUGGCUACCUCGAAGCCCUUCUGAAAGUGAGAGGGAAAGAAACCAGCUCGCAAAGUCCCCUGUAUUAUCUAUUCUUAAGUGGAAGUCGGGAGCUGUGAAAAUGCACUUCCAACAACCCUUAACUU
Molecule: long non-coding RNA, 1800 nt
Filed under: Macaca fascicularis (crab-eating macaque)
Lineage: Eukaryota; Metazoa; Chordata; Mammalia; Primates; Cercopithecidae
Description: lncRNA (ENSMFAG00000059765.1)
Source: RNAcentral